ACAAUAACCAAUGAGCCUCAAUACACGGUAUCCUCUCGGCGCCUCUUCGCUUCCUGCCAGUCCGGUGCGUGUUGGGAGUCCCGGCAGGGUGGGCGGGGCGUAACCAGCGUCUAUCACACAUUGCGAGCCCCAUGACAGGCGCCACACCUCACCUGCUCUCGAGAGCUACCGACGUGCCCUGCUGGUGGUCCUUUUGGUGUGUGCCUGCCUUCUGGCCUCUGCCGUGGCCUUCCCGCAGCCUGACCCUCUGCCAUCUUACCUAAACACUCUCUUAUUCUGAUGAUCCCUAUAAUGGAGUACACGGUGUUCAUAAGACAACUCAUUCUGUGAAUCUGUUCAUCGUGUUUACCAAAUGUUUGCCUCCUUUUUAAGCAGGAAGGAUGCGUGAGAUGCCAAGUCGUUCACUUUGACUAAUUCCUGUGUUGUCUCCCCAAACAGCCAACAGAUGCCUUUGCUAUACUUUCCCGUGUAACUGUGGAUGGGGCCGCACACCUCUUCGGUAAUGAGGAAAACGCCUGACCUCUGGAGCCUCUACAUGACCUGACCUGAACUCACCUGUUCUGAACCAACAAGCCUCAGGAUGAAAAAUAAAACAAAAUAGAGACUCUUCCUUCUCACUUCUCACUUGCAUUCACGCCUAAUAAAGCCUGCAAUAUCUGUU
Molecule: long non-coding RNA, 661 nt
Organism: Portunus trituberculatus (swimming crab)
Lineage: Eukaryota; Metazoa; Arthropoda; Malacostraca; Decapoda; Portunidae
Exons: 2
Source: RefSeq, a predicted model, not a curated record